CUCAGGUACACAGGUGCCAUCACCUCAUAUAAACAGCCACUAAAUCUACCUUGCUGGAUUAUAUAGAAUGAUAUUUUUCAAUUAGGAAUUUUGGAAAAAACAGUUGUUAUGCACCAGUAUUUUAAACAGUCUUUUACCAGUGAGAAUAGUUGUAUUGGAUGCAGAUGUUACUUCAAUUGCAUGCUAGCCUUACAUUAAACAUGUCAAGUGAAAGCAUUUGAAUUUUGUAUUUCUUGCUUUGUACACUAACCAAAAAUAGGAAAUUCAUUGUCAAUCAAUCAAUAAUUUGCUACCAUUAUAUAUCAACCUUAAUAUGUAUUUUUUUCUUAAUAGAGAUUGUAUUUAAUAUGGAUUCAUUAUAUAUCCUGAUCCUGAAUGAAAAGUUAUUAAUAAAAGCUUCCCAGCAGAAGGCAAGUUGUCUAAACAAGUGGCAAUAUAUAUAAUCAUUAAUGGCAUUUUAAGUACUGCAUAGUCUAUUUGGAAAAUGUUAUUCUUUUGCUGGAGAGUAUGUUUAUGCAGGAUUAACAAACCUGACAAGGAAUGGAGUUGCUGACUUGUGGUAUGAAGCUUGUACUUUUAAAUUUUAACUAGUGGACUUGUAUGACAUGCUUGAUUGAGCAGUGACAACACUACAUGCAGUACAGGUAUAUUAUACUAACUUGUAAAUAUUCUACAUUGAAGAGAAUUAUGUUAACCUUUUAUGUGGCAAUGGGCUCUACCUUAUUAUUUUUUCUGUCUAAUGCCAGACAAUUUUACUCAUGAAGGAGAGAGUGUUGCCACUCAAUGGGUUAAAGCCAAAUUUCUGUAGAUGGAAAUUUUGAACAAUAACUAUGUAAUAAGUACUGUGCCGGGAAUGGAACCUGUUGCCCUGUGAUUCAGAACAGUUCCUUAACAGCCGAGAGUCCAUCAAGCCCUGAGAGUCCAAGCGCCAAGAAUCCAUCAAGCUAACCAAGAGUUCAUUUAUACAAUACUAGUGUCAUCCCAGUUUAUUUAAUAUACUACCAGUGACACCACCAUCAUGGUAUAAUUAUACAGAAAGUUACAUCUUGGCAAAAGGACUCUUUAGGUCAGAGGGCUGCAGUAGAAUUGCAGGGCUGCAGGUUCAAUUCAUGCUGGCAGGCUUGUAAUUGUAUUAAAACUGUCUGUAUACCAGUACCAGCGUGGGUAGUACCAAUGUGAAAUUGCUGUGCUGAGUGGUUAUAUUACUACCUGAAAAAAAAAGCAAACAGAAACUGAAUGUUUUGAGCAAAGACCCUUCGCUCGAAAUGUUGAGUUUCUGCUUGUUUUUUUUUUGAGGUAGUAAUAUAACCACUCAACACAGCAAUUGUAAUUGUAUUCCUUUGCAAUUGCUCUCACAUAGUUCUAAGGUACCUGUAGCUCUAGUUUAUUUAAUUGUCUUAUUAUAUUGUAAUGAUAUAUUUUUUAUUAAAUUCCAUGUAUAUAAUAUAUACAUGUUCAGUGAUGUAAGACUCACAAAUUUUCUUCAUUUUAAUGCAGUGUAUAGGUUGUGACAUUAAAUUGGUCGAAAUGACAAAAAAAAAUUGGUCGAAAUGACCAAAAAAAAUUGGUCACCUGGAUGCAUCUGAGAGAACCAAUUAAAAAUGG
This is a non-coding RNA of Paramuricea clavata, 1605 nucleotides long. The record is from the annotation of a GenBank genome assembly. Lineage: Eukaryota; Metazoa; Cnidaria; Anthozoa; Malacalcyonacea; Plexauridae.